GAGGCUAAUAGUUCAUACGGGAGUCAUGCUGGAAUGCCGACUCCCCGAAACGCUCAGGCGCUGUAGGAUGUGGCUGCGGCCGAUUAGGUAGACGGUGGGGUAACGGCCCACCGUGCCGAUAAUCGGUACGGGUUGUGAGAGCAAGAGCCCGGAGACGGAAUCUGAGACAAGAUUCCGGGCCCUACGGGGCGCAGCAGGCGCGAAACCUUUACACUGCACGAAAGUGCGAUAAGGGGACCCCAAGUGCGAGGGCAUAUAGUCCUCGCUUUUCUCGACUGUAAGGCGGUCGAGGAAUAAGAGCUGGGCAAGACCGGUGCCAGCCGCCGCGGUAAUACCGGCAGCUCAAGUGAUGACCGAUAUUAUUGGGCCUAAAGCGUCCGUAGCCGGCCACGAAGGUUCAUCGGGAAAUCCGCCAGCUCAACUGGCGGGCGUCCGGUGAAAACCACGUGGCUUGGGACCGGAAGGCUCGAGGGGUACGUCCGGGGUAGGAGUGAAAUCCUGUAAUCCUGGACGGACCACCGAUGGCGAAAGCACCUCGAGAAGACGGAUCCGACGGUGAGGGACGAAAGCUAGGGUCUCGAACCGGAUUAGAUACCCGGGUAGUCCUAGCUGUAAACGAUGCU
RNAcentral lists this ribosomal RNA (623 nucleotides) under uncultured archaeon. RNAcentral describes it as "bacterial SSU rRNA". It matches the Rfam family "Archaeal small subunit ribosomal RNA", at positions 142 to 764 of the family's 1478-position model. The record is from RNAcentral.